This 804-nucleotide ribosomal RNA is filed under the name Turicibacter sanguinis. RNAcentral's name for it is "partial 23S ribosomal RNA". It matches the Rfam family "Bacterial large subunit ribosomal RNA", at positions 1 to 815 of the family's 2925-position model. The record is from RNAcentral. Lineage: Bacteria; Bacillati; Bacillota; Erysipelotrichia; Erysipelotrichales; Turicibacteraceae.
ACAAAAAGUAAGUAAGGGCACAUGGCGGAUGCCUUGGCUCUCGGAGGCGAUGAAGGACGUGAUAAGCUGCGAUAAGCUGCGGGUAGGUGCAAAUGACCUUUGAUCCGCGGAUUUCCGAAUGGGACAACCCGACAUUCUGAAGGAAUGUCAUCCUGCUUGGCAGGAGGCUAACGCAGGGAACUGAAACAUCUUAGUACCUGCAGGAAAAGAAAAUAAACAAUGAUUCCCCCAGUAGUGGCGAGCGAACGGGGAAUAGCCCAAACCAUCCAUGUUACGGCAUGGGUGGGGUUGUAGGACCACGCCGUGGCAAGAAAGUUGGUGAGCAGAAUGUUCUGGAAAGUACAGCCAUAGAGCAUGAGAGCUGCGUAUGCGAAGCCAAGCGAAGCCUAGUGGUAUCCUGAGUAGCGCGGAGCACGAGGAAUUCUGCGUGAAUCUGCCGGGACCAUCCGGUAAGGCUAAAUACUCCCGAGAGACCGAUAGUGAACCAGUACUGUGAAGGAAAGGUGAAAAGCACUUCGAACAGAAGAGUGAAAUAGUCCCUGAAACCAUGCGCCUACAAGCGGUCGGAGCAGCUUAUGCUGUGACGGCGUGCCUUUUGCAUAAUGAACCUACGAGUUACUUUUUCCGGCGAGGUUAAGGAUUUCAGAUCUGCAGCCGAAGCGAAAGCGAGUCUGAACAGGGCGUAUAGUCGGAAGGAGUAGACGCGAAACCAAGUGAUCUACCCUUGGGCAGGUUGAAGGAUGGGUAACACCAUCUGGAGGACCGAACCAAUAAGCGUUGAAAAGCUUCUGGAUGACCUGAGGG